Molecule: transfer RNA, 68 nt
Filed under: Amalda northlandica (Northland olive shell)
Lineage: Eukaryota; Metazoa; Mollusca; Gastropoda; Neogastropoda; Olividae
Description: tRNA-Asn
Source: RNAcentral
UAGAUGAAAGCCAAAAUAGAGGCGCCUAGCUGUUAAUUAGGAAAAUGUAAGUUACUUUACUCAUUUAG